GUGACAUGCACCUACGUCGAGGGAAGUGAAACAACAUGGGUUAUCCAUCCAAGUAAAGGAGUUCUCUGAGAUGCUGCGAUGAAUGCAUAAACGAAAUUUUUAAGUACUCUUAAAGAGAGAAUCAUACAGAGUGAGUUGUAAUGCGGUGAACCAAGGAACAGGAAACUCAACUACUGCCAGGUAAUCUCAGAUUAUAUCACUAAAUAGAGGUUUUCAAUUUUCAUAGAUCUUGCAUGCUUCUUAGCUCUUGUUAUGCUCACUUUUUUUUCCCAUAAUUUUUGGAUUUUCUUUUGAAUUUGUGAUGUUUGGUUUGGUACAGUUCAUUUUGUGGAUGAUAUGUUCCUUUAGUGGCCUUAUUCCCUUUGAUAUCUCGAAAUCUUAGCGGGUUUCUUGCAUGGGUUUUUCCUUUAAUCUAUUUUGCCCUCAAAAUUUGUGCUCUUUUUAUGGGUUUUAUCUGUCCAGUAGAGCUUGAAAUCUAUCACAUUCUUAAUGAUUUUAGUUCCUUUUCUUUUUUAAUCAUUAUCCAGUGCUUUGGGUUUUCAGUAUUAUUUGAUUUUCUUGAAAAAAAAAAGGGGUCUCCCACAAUUAAAGGGGACUUAUGGCAAUUCAUUUGCAUUUUGCUAAUGCCAUGUAGUUAUGUUCACUCUUAUGUGUUCUGGGCUUGUAAUAUUCAAUUUCUUGAUAUUCAAUAUGUGUCUCUUUGUUUAGUUUUUGCAUUCUUUUGGAAUUCAUUUGCUAGAAAAUUUGCUUUCUAGUUAAUUAUUACCAUGUAUCAUUGAGAACUUGUGAGGGAAAUAUUUUGUUAAAAAUCCAAGAGUAAAUUUGAGAGGAAAUUACUGACCUUUUUCAUUACUAGGAUGUAAAUUCAACUCAUUUAUAUUGCAUGGAUAUCCUCCAAGAGGUAAAUAGCACAUAUCAAGUUUGUGUUGUCCAUAUGCAAUAUGGUUCUAUAUAUAUAUAUUUUCUUUCAGCCACCCAGAAGUGGUUCAAUUACUGAAACUAACAAUGUUGAAACUUCAUUGUGUAGUUGAAAAAUAUGAAACGGUUAAUAAUUCUGAGUGUUCCAUGAGAUUUUUGGUAUGCAAGAGGUAAAAUUUACCUUUCUAUCUGUUUUACUCAAUUAGUUCGGCUAGUUUGGAUUUUGUCAUUUAAGUCCUGUUUAUGAGGAAUUUACUUGUAUUGCUUUUAGCUUGAAUAAAAUACCCUUCUAUUUGAAUAUAUUCUAUUAAUUUGUUAAUGAGGAACUGCUGGAUUUCAUAUGGCUAUUACAGUUUGUUUGCCUCUGCAAAAUGUGUUGAUUUUACAUACUGUUUUGGCUGACAUAGAUAUGAAUACCUGUCAAGUGUUAGGAAUUUGAUUUUCUACAAGCAGUGUUCUAAUGUACGUGCAGUGCUUAUACAUCUAGCAGUAAAGUACAUGAUGGGUACAUACUCCAAUAGAAGCCAUAUCACACCAGAAACUAGCACAGGGGCAUCUGUUCCACAUUUUUCCUGGUUUUAUUCUAGAAGUUUUUACUCUGCACCAAAAACCAGCUCAAUUCAUUCUCAAGGAACUCAAAUUGAUUCACAACCAGGUCUACCUGUUGCUCCUAUUUGUUCUGUUGCUCCUACAACUGAACCAGCAAAGAAUAAUAACUCAGGAACUAAACCUGCAAAGGCUAGGAAACAGAAGCCUUCUUUAAAGGGUUCUAACCAAAUUUCAUCCAAAACUUUGAAGCCAAAACAACCCAAAAAGACUUCUUCUAAAAAGAACGGACAUAGCAUGCCUGAAGCAAUACGUGAAAAAAGGAAUCUCAAUGUUGAUAUCGAUAGAAUGAACUAUGAUUUAUCUGGGGUGCCAUCUCCAUUUUGCUCCUGCACAGGCAUGCCUAGAGUUUGCUACAAAUGGGGUGCUGGUGGAUGGCAGUCCUCAUGUUGCACUAUUAGUAUAUCUGAAUAUCCUCUCCCCAUGAGUUCCACAAGGCCUGGGGCUCGCAUGGCUGGGAGGAAAAUGAGUAAUGGAGCAUAUGUGAAACUUCUGCUGAAACUGGCAGCUGAAGGUCAUGAUCUUUCCCAUCCAGUUGACUUGAAGGAACAUUGGGCUAGACAUGGUACUAACAAGUUUGUUAUAAUCAAGUAGAGACGAGGAAAGUUGGCAGUUAGAUAUAUAUAUCGAUUACCAGCUAGUAUAAUUCCUAUCUUUUUUCUGGUAAGUUGUAGUCUAUUAUAAGGAAUGCCUCUAUGUAGUUUGUAAAUAUGGUUUCCGUAGCACUUGCUUAAUAUCUAGAAACCUUAUCCUUUCCCCGUAAGCUGUGCUUUGCACACAGAUACCCAUAUUUUGGGUAACAUGCUUAUUUUGGCAACUGUUCAGUGCUUCUGAUUCAGUUUUUAGUUUGCUAGCAUCCUGUGUAGUAUUUAUCAAAGGUUGGAAACUUGAAUAUCCAAAUGUAAGUUGCAACUGGACUGCCUUAGUUUGUGUUCUGAAGUUCAUCAAGCUGGUAUACUGAAAAUGCUGUUUAAAUCUUCAAUAGAAAGGUCUACUAUCUUUCAUGCUUGCUUAGCUAAAGAAUCUGCAAGUAAAAUAAGAUUAAGGGCAUAUCAUUAUUAAACACAGUUAACAUGGAGAUUCUAUUGUUGUCAUUUUU
Molecule: unclassified non-coding RNA, 2623 nt
Filed under: Hevea brasiliensis (rubber tree)
Lineage: Eukaryota; Viridiplantae; Streptophyta; Magnoliopsida; Malpighiales; Euphorbiaceae
Source: RNAcentral